GCCAUGGAGGGGGAGGAGAUGACACCAAAGGAAUGAGGAUGCCCAGGGAUGUCCCCUGGGAUGGAGGGAUGGAGACAGAGCCCCCAGCGGAAGAGAUGCAGCCUCCCUCCCUUCAUCCUUAAUAGGACAAAACUUUCCAUGCUCCUCGACUGAUGG
Long non-coding RNA from Alligator sinensis (Chinese alligator), 156 nucleotides. RefSeq lists it as uncharacterized. The transcript is spliced from 2 exons. The record is from RefSeq and is a predicted model, not a curated record. Lineage: Eukaryota; Metazoa; Chordata; Crocodylia; Alligatoridae.